RNAcentral lists this ribosomal RNA (459 nucleotides) under uncultured bacterium. Its description in RNAcentral is "partial 16S ribosomal RNA". It matches the Rfam family "Bacterial small subunit ribosomal RNA", at positions 338 to 795 of the family's 1533-position model. The record is from RNAcentral.
CCUACGGGUGGCAGCAGUGAGGAAUAUUGGUCAAUGGCCGAGAGCCUGAACCAGCCAAGUCGCGUGAGGGAAGACGGUCCUAUGGAUUGUAAACCUCUUUUGUCGGGGAGCAAAGUAACCCACGUGUGGGGUUUGGAGAGUACCUGAAGAAAAAGCAUCGGCUAACUCCGUGCCAGCAGCCGCGGUAAUACGGAGGAUGCGAGCGUUAUCCGGAUUUAUUGGGUUAAAAGGGUGCGUAGGCGGGUUAUCAAGUCAGCGGUAAAAUCGUGGAGCUCAACUCCAUCCAGCCGUUGAAACUGAUGAUCUUGAGUGGGUGAGAAGUAUGCGGAAUGCGUGGUGUAGCGGUGAAAUGCAUAGAUAUCACGCAGAACUCCGAUUGCGAAGGCAGCAUACCGGCGCCCGACUGACGCUGAAGCACGAAAGCGUGGGUAUCGAACAGGAUUAGAUACCCGAGUAGUC